GNNUNGCGGGCGGGCCUACACAUGCAAGUCGAGCGGUAGAGAGAAGCUUGCUUCUCUUGAGAGCGGCGGACGGGUGAGUAAUGCCUAGGAAUCUGCCUAGUGGUGGGGGAUAACGUUCGGAAACGGACGCUAAUACCGCAUACGUCCUACGGGAGAAAGCGGGGGACCUUCGGGCCUCGCGCCAUUAGAUGAGCCUAGGUCGGAUUAGCUAGUUGGUGAGGUAAAGGCUCACCAAGGCGACGAUCCGUAACUGGUCUGAGAGGAUGAUCAGUCACACUGGAACUGAGACACGGUCCAGACUCCUACGGGAGGCAGCAGUGGGGAAUAUUGGACAAUGGGCGAAAGCCUGAUCCAGCCAUGCCGCGUGUGUGAAGAAGGUCUUCGGAUUGUAAAGCACUUUAAGUUGGGAGGAAGGGUAGUAACUUAUUACNUUGCUACUUUGACGUUACCGACAGAAUAAGCACCGGCUAACUUCCUGCCAGCAGCCGCGGUAAUACUAAGGGUGCAUNUCGUUCUUCGGAA
Molecule: ribosomal RNA, 522 nt
Filed under: bacterium HPCPW33
Lineage: Bacteria
Description: bacterial SSU rRNA
Rfam family: Bacterial small subunit ribosomal RNA
Source: RNAcentral